GCACCUCGAUGUCGGCUCAUCACAUCCUGGGGCUGGAGAAGGUCCCAAGGGUUGGGCUGUUCGCCCAUUAAAGUGGUACGUGAGCUGGGUUUAGAACGUCGUGAGACAGUUCGGUCUCUAUCCGCCGUGGGCGCAGGAGAAUUGAAGGAAUCUGCUUCUAGUACGAGAGGACCGAAGUGGACGAACCUCUGGUGUACCAGUUGUUUCAUCAGAAGCAUCGCUGGGUAGCUAAGUUCGGAAAGGAUAAGCGCUGAAAGCAUAUAAGUGCGAAACCUGACCUAAGAUUAGUUCUCCCUAUCAUAUGAUAAUAAGACUCGUUGUAGACUACGACGUUGAUAGGCCACAAGUGUAAGUAUAGUAAUAUAUUUAGCUGAGUGGUACUAAUUAGUCGAAUGGCUUUAUCAA
RNAcentral lists this ribosomal RNA (405 nucleotides) under Fidelibacterota bacterium TMED108. Its description in RNAcentral is "bacterial LSU rRNA". It matches the Rfam family "Bacterial large subunit ribosomal RNA", at positions 2521 to 2925 of the family's 2925-position model. Lineage: Bacteria; Pseudomonadati; Fidelibacterota. The record is from RNAcentral.